GACGAACCGAGCGAACGUUGUUCGGAAUCACUGGGAUUAAAGGGCGCGUAGGCGGAUCAUCAAGUCCGGGGUGAAAUCUUUCGGCUCAACCGGAAAAGUGCCUUGGAUCCUGAUGGUCUCGAGGGAGGUAGGGGCAGAUGGAACUUCCGGUGGAGCGGUGAAAUGCGUUGAUAUCGGAAGGAACUCCGGUGGCGAAAGCGAUCUGCUGGACCUCUUCUGACGCUGAGGCGCGAAAGCUAGGGGAGCAAACGGG
Molecule: ribosomal RNA, 253 nt
Filed under: uncultured bacterium
Lineage: Bacteria
Description: partial 16S ribosomal RNA
Rfam family: Bacterial small subunit ribosomal RNA
Source: RNAcentral